This 161-nucleotide ribosomal RNA is filed under the name Bryum argenteum. Its description in RNAcentral is "5.8S ribosomal RNA". The stretch from base 27 to 161 matches the Rfam family "5.8S ribosomal RNA", at positions 1 to 136 of the family's 154-position model. From Rfam's summary of the family: 5.8S ribosomal RNA (5.8S rRNA) is a component of the large subunit of the eukaryotic ribosome. It is transcribed by RNA polymerase I as part of the 45S precursor that also contains 18S and 28S rRNA. Lineage: Eukaryota; Viridiplantae; Streptophyta; Bryopsida; Bryales; Bryaceae. The record is from RNAcentral.
UGGAUCUAAAAACUUUAACUUAGAACAACUCUCAGCAACGGAUAUCUUGGCUCUUGCAACGAUGAAGAACGCAGCGAAAUGCGAUACGUAGUGUGAAUUGCAGAAUUCCGCGAAUCAUCGAGUUUUUGAACGCAAGUUGCGCCCGAGGCUUGUCCGAGGGC